This is an RNA transcript of Phragmites australis (common reed), 2730 nucleotides long. It is a transcript of the gene named protein WHAT'S THIS FACTOR 1 homolog, chloroplastic-like, with no coding region annotated. The transcript is spliced from 3 exons. The record is from RefSeq and is a predicted model, not a curated record. NCBI's taxonomy places the organism in Eukaryota, Viridiplantae, Streptophyta, Magnoliopsida, Poales, Poaceae.
ACUCACAUACAACGCCAUCCAACAAGAAGCCCACGAGCCCGCUCGACCCUUUCGGGUUCCUGGUCGCGUCCGCCGCCGUGCCUCGUCGGCGAGGAUGGCGCGGUGGUCGUCCCCGAAGGACCCGGAGCUAGAGGCCGCGCUCCGGCGCAACCGCCGCUGGGUGGUGAACAACCAGAUCAAGCGCCUCCUCCUCCGCUUCCCGUCGCGCACGGCACCGGUGCGGUUCCUCCAGUCCCGCUUCAAGACGCUCGACCUCAUGGGCCGCGCCGCCAACUGGCUCCGCAAGUACCCCUCCUGCUUCGAGGUCUUCUCCGCCGACGCCGGGGGCGGCGGCGGAGGCGAGGAGGAGCCCCACUUCGGCUUCACCAAGCGGAUGGCUGCGCUCGUCGACGCCGAGGGGGCCGCCCUCGACGCCUCCGAGCCCGCCAUGGCCGGCCGCCUCGCCCGCGUGCUCAUGCUCGCCCGCGGCCGCCGCUUCCAGGUCUCCAAGCUCGCCGCGCUGCGGGGCCCGCUCGGCCUCCCCGACGACUACCUCCUCCGUCUCCUCCCUGCCCACACCGACCUCUUCCGACUUGCCAACCCCUACCCGCACCGCUGCAACGCCGCAGAGCUGGAGCUUAUCCGGUGGGUGCCCUCGCUCGCUGUCUCCGCCGUGGAGGCCGCCGCGGCCGCGAGUGACUCCGCGCCGCGGUUCACUUGCUCGUUGCCGGCCUCCUGGGUCAAGUCGCACGCCAAGAUGGAGGAGUUCAACUCCACACCUUACAUCUCGCCCUUCUCGGAGGAGUGGGUGGUGCCGGCCACGGACGCCGAGGCCGAGAAGCGAGCGGUGGCAGUGGUUCACGAGCUCCUCUCACUGACGCUGUGGAAAAAGAUGUCAAUUUUGAAGCUGGAGCAUUUCAGGAGGGAGUUUGGGCUGCCGGAGGACACGGCAAGGAUGCUGCUCCGUCACCCUUGCCUCUUCUACGUGUCCAAUAGGUACAAGAUACACACGGUGGUGCUCCGUGAGGGGUACCAUGGGUCAGACUUGAGGGAGAAGGAUCCGGUGGUGGUGUCAAAGGAAAGGCUCGGGGACCUAAUGCAGGAGGGGCUGCACGAGUAUAACCAGCGGCACCGUGCUGCGAAUUUGGAGAAGAAGAGGAGGAGAGGGGAGGUUGAGGUAAAGGAGGAGGAAGAGGUGGUAGACGACAAGGAAGUGGCGCGGUUGGAUAGUGCAGAGAAGAGGGAGGAGAGGAGGAGGUUCUACAAGGUGUUGUUUGGUGAUGAUAAUCGGUGAUCGUCCUAAGUUUUGCCUUGUUGAUAUUCAGAGGAAGGAAAAGAUCAUCAGCACAUGGUUUGCUGAUUGAGAUGAAUCAGCUUGUGCAUUUCUGUGUUUUGCAGUGUGCGAAAGCAAUUAAAUUAUGGAUGCAAUAAGAUCGGCAAACCAUACAGAUGUGCGUUGCUGUCCGGUCACAGGGAAUGGAAUACAUUUAAUGCCAAAAAUAAUCUUUGACCGAAGAACUGCAAAUGAUUGCAAUAAGAACCACCAUAUGGUUUGAUCUUUCUGAUUAAACCAAUCACUUUACAGAUGUAAUAACAUUAGGAUUGUUGCAGAGGCUGUAGAACAUAUUGCUGAAAGCAUUUAUUCUACAGGAUUCACAAGGGAAAUCAUAAUGCAGACUGAUGGUGUUAGCGUGUGACAGCAAAAGGUAUUCAUGAGCUGCAAAUGUUGCUGUCGGGAAGUUGUGAUUGAAGAACUAAAUGAACAUUGCAAGAUUGUUUGAUCUUUCAGGAGAACAAUAAUCUUACCUUUUUGUGGAGCUUGUUUUGUAUAGCAAAUAUCUUCAGGCUAAGAAAUUGAACUUUGUGAGCUUGUAGAGGGAGGGAUACCUUUGGCCAUGUUGAAGCUGCGUUUCUCCAGCUCUCUGUACUCCUGGCACAGCGCACAAGUGUCGCAGCAGAAGUGAACGCAGCAGUCCAAGCAGGGCGAUUCUAGGUCCCGUUCGUGCAGCAGGCUGGAAACAAGAAGAGAGUCAGCCAAGGAAAUGGAUGGGUUUUAUGCAUGUUCCAAAGAGAAGAUGAUGAGUAGAACACCCACAUGUGGAGCCUCUGUCCACAAUCUGAGUAACGCGGCCAAAUGUAACACAGGGGCACCAGCAAGUCAAGCAACCAGCAACAUCGGUAAAGAAAUGAAACAUUGCAUCGUUCUGAAACCCAUGUGCAAGAAGUACGAGAAGCACAGAGAAGCUAGAUUGCAUACACGUGCUGAAAUCUCCAAAGCAUUCGAAAAGCCCAACUGACCUCUCCCCCGUCAUGCUGUUAAUCGGUUAGAUAGAUUGUGGUUGAGCAAGGUGGUAAAACGAGGUGUCUAGCUGUGUGUUUUUGUGCAAUGCUACUUUUGGUCCUCUUGGCAUUAUAUACCACUAACGGUGUGGCAUCACUAUGAACACAUUACGAAGUUAAUUACUUUAAUGGCCCAUCUCAGAACAGAAACUUUUGUCCUUUCUUUGCAUUUCUUUGGUAGUUGCACUGAAAUGCUUUAUAUCGUUUUGUGUUUGCAGGCUUGGCCUUGAAUUGGUCCUCCUGAGGAUCCCAUGUCUAAUUGCCAUGUUCUGUUUUGAACCAUUCUUUCUGAAAUUCCUAUGCUUAAUAAGUGUUCAGGGCUUGGCAACAUUUUGGAAUUUCCAGUUUGGUGGUAAUUUCCAUUCCUUUUUGUUAUUGUUCUCAUUUAUCGGAACAGUUUGUUGGUAACUU